RNAcentral lists this ribosomal RNA (465 nucleotides) under uncultured bacterium. RNAcentral's name for it is "partial 16S ribosomal RNA". It matches the Rfam family "Bacterial small subunit ribosomal RNA", at positions 28 to 507 of the family's 1533-position model. The record is from RNAcentral.
GACGAACGCUGGCGGCGUGCUUAACACAUGCAAGUCGAACGGAAAGGCCCUGCUUGCCGGGUACUCGAGUGGCGAACGGGUGAGUAACACGUGGGUGAUCUGCCCUGCACUUCGGGAUAAGCUUGGGAAACUGGGUCUAAUACCGGAUAGGAGCCAUCUUUAGUGUGGUGGUUGGAAAGUUUUUUCGGUGUAGGAUGAGCUCGCGGCCUAUCAGCUUGUUGGUGGGGUAAUGGCCUACCAAGGCGGCGACGGGUAGCCGGCCUGAGAGGGUGUACGGCCACAUUGGGACUGAGAUACGGCCCAGACUCCUACGGGAGGCAGCAGUGGGGAAUAUUGCACAAUGGGCGCAAGCCUGAUGCAGCGACGCCGCGUGGGGGAUGAAGGCCUUCGGGUUGUAAACUCCUUUCGCUAGGGACGAAGCUUUUUGUGACGGUACCUAGAUAAGAAGCACCGGCUAACUACGUG